UACAUAGGGUGCGAGCGUUGUCCGGAAUUAUUGGGCGUAAAGAGCUCGUAGGCGGUCUGUCGCGUCGGUCGUGAAAACUUGGGGCUUAACCCUGAGCUUGCGGUCGAUACGGGCAUGACUGGAGUUCGGUAGGGGAGACUGGAAUUCCUGGUGUAGCGGUGAAAUGCGCAGAUAUCAGGAGGAACACCGGUGGCGAAGGCGGGUCUCUGGGCCGAUACUGACGCUGAGGAGCGAAGGCGUGGGGAGCGAACAGG
Molecule: ribosomal RNA, 254 nt
Filed under: uncultured bacterium
Lineage: Bacteria
Description: partial 16S ribosomal RNA
Rfam family: Bacterial small subunit ribosomal RNA
Source: RNAcentral